RNAcentral lists this ribosomal RNA (329 nucleotides) under uncultured eukaryote. RNAcentral describes it as "partial 18S ribosomal RNA". It matches the Rfam family "Eukaryotic small subunit ribosomal RNA", at positions 1470 to 1796 of the family's 1831-position model. The record is from RNAcentral.
CCCUUAGAUGUUCUGGGCCGCACGCGCGCUACACUGACGAUGGCAACGAGUUUUUCCUUCGCCGAAAGGUGUGGGUAAUCUUUUGAAACAUCGUCGUGCUGGGGAUAGAUCAUUGCAAUUUUUGAGCUUGAACGAGGAAUUCCUAGUAAGCGCGAGUCAUCAGCUCGCGUUGAUUACGUCCCUGCCCUUUGUACACACCGCCCGUCGCUACUACCGAUUGAAUGGUUUAGUGAGGACUCCUGAUUGGCGCCGCCGCCCCGGCAACGGAGCAGCGGACUGCCGAAAAGUUGUUCAAACUUGAUCAUUUAGAGGAAGUAAAAGUCGUAACA